AGCAGAUGACACAGCAGUAACGCACCAGGUACGACCAGGUACUGUAAAGUGGGUAGUAUCCUGGAAUGGAAACAGUCUGGAAUAGGACCUGGUGCCAGAGUCGAGCCGGUUCCAUGUAGUGGAAAGGCGGCAUUCCAAAAGUCCAAACUGCCUGUUCAGGUUCCCUUUACCAUGAGAGCACACAUUUCCAUUGGACAAUCAGUAACAAUGCUGUGAAUAUUUCCCAUGAUCCUCCACUUCAGAGACGCUAGAGAAGGUGAACUGAUGCUGGAAGUGUCCUGUCCUCAUUACCCAGAGUGCACUGCAGCUGCAGCGGCCCUGGCUCAUAUCUGCGGUCGGUCUGUUGUUCCCAUCAUUUGUUUUGUUUUUGUUUUGCCCCCCCCCCCCCCCCCCCCGGCUGUGUUUUUUUUUUUUUUUUUUUUUUUCAGUUUAGUUUUUCUUAUGCAUGGGUUGCCUUUAGUUCAAUUCACACAUUUUCUUCAAAAUUCACACAAAUUUUAACAAAUUAAAUGAAAAAUGCUGAACGUUUCCAAAGGGUAGACAUAUUCUGUGUGUGUGUGUGUGUGUGUGUGGGUGUGUGUGGUGUGUUGGUGUGUGUGUGUGUAGCGGUGCUAAAAGGACCACUGCUACAUGAUUGCUUUUGUUUUAAUUAAUAAAGUUUUUUUUUUUUUUUCCUGUCAAGGUGUUAAA
Long non-coding RNA from Sphaeramia orbicularis (orbiculate cardinalfish), 690 nucleotides. RefSeq lists it as uncharacterized. The transcript has 2 exons. The record is from RefSeq and is a predicted model, not a curated record. NCBI's taxonomy places the organism in Eukaryota, Metazoa, Chordata, Actinopteri, Kurtiformes, Apogonidae.